AGAGUUUGAUCAUGGCUCAGAACGAACGCUGGCGGCAGGCCUAACACAUGCAAGUCGAACGAGUAAGAGCCGUAGCAAUACGGAGUUCUGCUAGUGGCGCACGGGUGAGUAACGCGUGGGAACGUGCCUUGGAGUUCGGGAUAACAGUUGGAAACGACUGCUAAUACCGAAUAUUCCCUCAGGGGGAAAGAUUUAUCGCUCCAAGAUCGGCCCGCGUAAGAUUAGGUAGUUGGUGGGGUAAUGGCCUACCAAGCCUACGAUCUUUAGCUGGUCUGAGAGGACGACCAGCCACACUGGAACUGAGACACGGUCCAGACUCCUACGGGAGGCAGCAGGUGGGAAUAUUGGACAAUGGGCGAAAGCCUGAUCCAGCCAUGCCGCGUGUGUGAAGAAGGCCUUCGGGUUGUAAAGCACUUUAAGCGAGGAGGAAGGUUCGUUACUUAAUACGUAACGGAAUUGACGUUACUCGCAGAAUAAGCACCGGCUAACUCUGUG
RNAcentral lists this ribosomal RNA (495 nucleotides) under uncultured bacterium. RNAcentral's name for it is "bacterial SSU rRNA". It matches the Rfam family "Bacterial small subunit ribosomal RNA", at positions 8 to 507 of the family's 1533-position model. The record is from RNAcentral.